AACGAACGCUGGCGGCAUGCCUAACACAUGCAAGUCGAACGAGACCUUCGGGUCUAGUGGCGCACGGGUGCGUAACGCGUGGGAACCUGCCCUUAGGUUCGGAAUAACUCCCCGAAAGGGGUGCUAAUACCGGAUAAUGUCUUCGGACCAAAGAUUUAUCGCCUUUGGAUGGGCCCGCGUUGGAUUAGCUAGUUGGUAGGGUAAAAGCCUACCAAGGCGACGAUCCAUAGCUGGUCUGAGAGGAUGAUCAGCCACACUGGGACUGAGACACGGCCCAGAAUCCUACGGGAGGCAGCAGUGAGGAAUAUUGGAAAAUGGGCGAAAGCCUGAUCCAGCAAUGCCGCGUGAGUGAUGAAGGCCUUAGGGUUGUAAAGCUCUUUUACCCGGGAUGAUAAUGACAGUACCGGGAGAAUAAGCUCCGGCUAACUCCGUG
This 433-nucleotide ribosomal RNA is filed under the name uncultured bacterium. RNAcentral describes it as "partial 16S ribosomal RNA". It matches the Rfam family "Bacterial small subunit ribosomal RNA", at positions 29 to 507 of the family's 1533-position model. The record is from RNAcentral.